RNAcentral lists this ribosomal RNA (551 nucleotides) under Anaplasma bovis. Its description in RNAcentral is "bacterial SSU rRNA". It matches the Rfam family "Bacterial small subunit ribosomal RNA", at positions 72 to 655 of the family's 1533-position model. Lineage: Bacteria; Pseudomonadati; Pseudomonadota; Alphaproteobacteria; Rickettsiales; Anaplasmataceae. The record is from RNAcentral.
CUCGUAGCUUGCUAUGAGAACAGUUAGUGGCAGACGGGUGAGUAAUGCAUAGGAAUCUACCUAGUAGUAUAGGAUAGCCACUAGAAGUGGUGGGUAAUACUGUAUAAUCCCCGCGGGGGAAAGAUUUAUCGCUACAUGAUGAGCCUAUGUUAGAUUAGCUAGUUGGUGGGGUAAUGGCCUACCAAGGCAGUGAUCUAUAGCUGGUCUGAGAGGAUGAUCAGCCACACUGGAACUGAGACACGGUCCAGACUCCUACGGGAGGCAGCAGUGGGGAAUAUUGGACAAUGGGCGCAAGCCUGAUCCAGCUAUGCCGCGUGAGUGGGGAAGGCCUUAGGGUUGUAAAACUCUUUCAGUGGGGAAGAUAAUGACGGUACCCACAGAAGAAGUCCCGGCAAACUCCGUGCCAGCAGCCGCGGUAAUACGGAGGGGGCAAGCGUUGUUCGGAAUUAUUGGGCGUAAAGGGCAUGUAGGUGGUUUGGUUAGUUAAAGGUGAAAUGCCAGGGCUUAACCCUGGAGCUGCUUUUAAUACUGCCAGACUGGAGUCCGGGAGA